GCGGCGGGGGCAGCGCCGGCCGGACACCAACUCCGCGCCCUCCGAGACUUCGAAGGGAGCGGGGGGAGAGGGAAGCGCGUUGUGAGCGGAGUCGCUCGUCUGUAACGCGCACCGGCAGCAACUUUUUUUUUUAAGCUGAGCGAGCACGAAGCCUUCCCGCAGCUCCUGCUCCACAAAGACUGCAAGGAAAAGUUUCUAAAUUGAAGAAUGUUUUCCUACUACUCUCCCUGCACAAAUGUACUUCCCAGAAGUCACCAAGAUUUAGAAGCCCUGAAACAGCUGUGUGGCCUGAGAUGGAGAAGACUGCAAUCCUGACUGUUCCAUGGCACCAACGGAGCGGCUGAACGAGCAGCGCUGCGCACCUCUGGCAUCUAAUGGCUGCAAUCAACAUUCAUUGCUGUCGGUGGGUUUUCGUUUCUAUCAACUCACUGAUCAAUGAAUGCAAACUGCGGACCAGCUCGCUAAGAGACCGCACGUUCCCACGGCUCGGGGCACCGUGCCGGCAGGGAAAGAGACAGGCUUUUUGCCAGGUACUCAAGUUCUGCCUCCCAGGAACAGCAUGGGGCAGGUCCAUGGCUCUGCUCUUAACGUCACCAAAAAAGUGCAGCACAAAUCACCCAGCUUCUUCGUGAGCAACGUUAACAUCUCACAGAGCAGUAAAUUCUGAAUAAAGUAAGUAUUCCUUCAGAUGUGCAGGGCAUCGGACCCUCACAAGUCUACAAAGUCUUGGUCUGCUGAGGUGAUGCUCUCAAUACAGGCCAAUAGAAUUGUUAUCCAUCCUUAGCACAGACUGAGCGAGAGCUCCCUGUCAUUUAUCACCUUCAAGAGAAGGUGUUUGCAUGCUGACUACUGUAAAUAAUACAAAAAGCUUUUCUUUCAGAUACAGAAACCGUAUCAGCAGAAGAGAAUGCAGUUUUGCGUUGGCAGAUGUCCAUCAGGUGUUUGCCCCAGCCACCCACCAGGUUCCUUCUUUGGUUUACAGCACGGAAGCAAUAGCAAUAGAGCCACCUCCAGCAUCGUUCUAAUCCUUCACAGCCGUAAGACAGCAAUGCCAUCCCGUUACUACUGAACAGGCACCUUCCUGGCCUGGGAGGAGGUUGCAUUUCAGAGGAGGGUGGGUAAAAACAGCCUUUCUUUGUGUCCCUCUUCCCAAGCCACCUUGUUCUGACCCCAGGUUCUCCUCGGGGUUUCACACCAUCCUGGACUGCAGUGUGACGUGGUCCUUCUCCUCAAAGCCCUUCCCUGCCCCACGCUGUUUUCCUCCACUCCUCCAGGGCCUGGGACCUCCCUGUCCUCCGAGCAACGUCCCGCUGUCGGAGCUGCCUGAUGGGCUGCAG
This is a long non-coding RNA of Cuculus canorus (common cuckoo), 1337 nucleotides long. RefSeq lists it as uncharacterized. The transcript has 3 exons. NCBI's taxonomy places the organism in Eukaryota, Metazoa, Chordata, Aves, Cuculiformes, Cuculidae. The record is from RefSeq and is a predicted model, not a curated record.